This 253-nucleotide ribosomal RNA is filed under the name uncultured bacterium. Its description in RNAcentral is "partial 16S ribosomal RNA". It matches the Rfam family "Bacterial small subunit ribosomal RNA", at positions 524 to 776 of the family's 1533-position model. The record is from RNAcentral.
GACAGAGGGUGCAAACGUUGCUCGGAAUCACUGGGCGUAAAGGGCGUGUAGGCGGGAAUGUAAGUCGGGCGUGAAAUCCCUAGGCUCAACCUAGGAACUGCACUCGAAACUGCGUUUCUUGAGUAUCGGAGAGGAAAGCGGAAUACCUGGUGUAGAGGUGAAAUUCGUAGAUAUCAGGUGGAACACCAGUGGCGAAGGCGGUGGUCUGGGCCGGCACUGACGCUGAGGAGCGAAAGCGUGGGGAGCGAACAGG